Molecule: ribosomal RNA, 497 nt
Filed under: uncultured bacterium
Lineage: Bacteria
Description: partial 16S ribosomal RNA
Rfam family: Bacterial small subunit ribosomal RNA
Source: RNAcentral
GAUGAACGCUGGCGGCGUGCCUAAUACAUGCAAGUCGAGCGAACGGACGAGAAGCUUGCUUUUCUGAUGUUAGCGGCGGACGGGUGAGUAACACGUGGAUAACCUACCUAUAAGACUGGGAUAACUUCGGGAAACCGGAGCUAAUACCGGAUAAUAUUUUGAACCGCAUGGUUCAAAAGUGAAAGACGGUCUUGCUGUCACUUAUAGAUGGAUCCGCGCUGCAUUAGCUAGUUGGUAAGGUAACGGCUUACCAAGGCAACGAUGCAUAGCCGACCUGAGAGGGUGAUAGGCCACACUGGAACUGAGACACGGUCCAGACUCCUACGGGAGGCAGCAGUAGGGAAUCGUCCGCAAUGGGCGAAAGCCUGACGGAGCAACGCCGCGUGAGUGAUGAAGGUCUUCGGAUCGUAAAACUCUGUUAUUAGGGAAGAACAUAUGUGUAAGUAACUGUGCACAUCUUGACGGUACCUAAUCAGAAAGCCACGGCUAACUACGUG